GAUGAACGCUGGCGGCGUGCUUAACACAUGCAAGUCGAACGGAAAGGCCCAAGCUUGCUUGGGUACUCGAGUGGCGAACGGGUGAGUAACACGUGGGUGAUCUGCCCUGCACUUCGGGAUAAGCCUGGGAAACUGGGUCUAAUACCGGAUAGGACGAUGGUUUGGAUGCCAUUGUGGAAAGUUUUUUCGGUGUAGGAUGAGCUCGCGGCCUAUCAGCUUGUUGGUGGGGUAAUGGCCUACCAAGGCGUCGACGGGUAGCCGGCCUGAGAGGGUGUACGGCCACAUUGGGACUGAGAUACGGCCCAGACUCCUACGGGAGGCAGCAGUGGGGAAUAUUGCACAAUGGGCGCAAGCCUGAUGCAGCGACGCCGCGUGGGGGAUGACGGCCUUCGGGUUGUAAACUCCUUUCGCUAGGGACGAAGCGUUUUUGUGACGGUACCUGGAGAAGAAGCACCGGCUAACUACGUG
This 468-nucleotide ribosomal RNA is filed under the name uncultured bacterium. RNAcentral describes it as "partial 16S ribosomal RNA". It matches the Rfam family "Bacterial small subunit ribosomal RNA", at positions 28 to 507 of the family's 1533-position model. The record is from RNAcentral.